RNAcentral lists this ribosomal RNA (468 nucleotides) under uncultured bacterium. Its description in RNAcentral is "partial 16S ribosomal RNA". It matches the Rfam family "Bacterial small subunit ribosomal RNA", at positions 28 to 507 of the family's 1533-position model. The record is from RNAcentral.
GACGAACGCUGGCGGCGUGCUUAACACAUGCGAGUCGAACGGAAAGGCCCUGCUUUUGUGGGGUGCUCGAGUAGCGAACGGGUGAGUAACACGUGAGUAACCUGCCCUUGACUUUGGGAUAACUUCAGGAAACUGGGGCUAAUACCGGAUAGGAGCUCCUGCUGCAUGGUGGGGGUUGGAAAGUUUCGGCGGUUGGGGAUGGACUCGCGGCUUAUCAGCUUGUUGGUGGGGUAGUGGCUUACCAAGGCUUUGACGGGUAGCCGGCCUGAGAGGGUGACCGGCCACAUUGGGACUGAGAUACGGCCCAGACUCCUACGGGAGGCAGCAGUGGGGAAUAUUGCACAAUGGGCGGAAGCCUGAUGCAGCAACGCCGCGUGCGGGAUGACGGCCUUCGGGUUGUAAACCGCUUUCGCCUGUGACGAAGCGCGAGUGACGGUAAUGGGUAAAGAAGCACCGGCUAACUACGUG